AACUCUGAGCCAGGAUCAAGAGCCUAAUCGGAUCCCGGGCCCGUCGACUGCAGAGGCCUGCAUGCAAGCUUUCCCUAUAGUGAGUCGUAUUAGAGCUUGGCGUAAUCAUGGUCAUAGCUGUUUCCUGUGUGAAAUUGUUAUCCGCUCACAAUUCCACACAACAUACGAGCCGGAAGCAUAAAGUGUAAAGCCUGGGGUGCCUAAUGAGUGAGCUAACUCACAUUAAUUGCGUUGCGCUCACUGCCCGCUUUCCAGUCGGGAAACCUGUCGUGCCAGCUGCAUUAAUGAAUCGGCCAACGCGCGGGGAGAGGCGGUUUGCGUAUUGGGCGCUCUUCCGCUUCCUCGCUCACUGACUCGCUGCGCUCGGUCGUUCGGCUGCGGCGAGCGGUAUCAGCUCACUCAAAGGCGGUAAUACGGUUAUCCACAGAAUCAGGGGAUAACGCAGAAAGAACAUGUGAGCAAAAGGCCAGCAAAAGGCCAGGAACCGUAAAAAGGCCGCGUUGCUGGCGUUUUUCCUGCUCCGCCCCCCUGACGAGCAUCACAAAAAUCACGCUCAAGUCAGGUGGCGAAACCCGACGGGACUAUAAAGAUACCAGGCGUUUCCCCCUGAAGCUCCCUCGCGCUCUCCUGUUCCGAUGCCCUUACCGAUACCUGUCCGCCUUUCUCCCUUCGGGAAGCGUGGCGCUUCUCAUACUCACGCUGUAGUAUCUCAUUCGGUGUAGUCGUUCGCUCCAGCUGGGCUGUGUGCACGACCCCCCGUUCAGCCCGACCGCUGCGCCAUCCGGUAACUAUCGUCUUGAGUCCACGGUAAACACGACUUAUCGCCACUGGCAGCAGCCACUGGUAACAGAUUAGCAAGCGAGGUAUGUAGCGUGCUACAAGUUCUGAAGGGGGACUACGCUACACUAUGUAUUAUACUGCCUCUGCAGUACCUCGAAAUGAGCUCCACCUGGUUUGAGCACCAAAAGAUCUUCUGGCAUGA
RNAcentral lists this ribosomal RNA (982 nucleotides) under uncultured bacterium. Its description in RNAcentral is "partial 16S ribosomal RNA". The record is from RNAcentral.